RNAcentral lists this ribosomal RNA (253 nucleotides) under uncultured bacterium. Its description in RNAcentral is "partial 16S ribosomal RNA". It matches the Rfam family "Bacterial small subunit ribosomal RNA", at positions 524 to 776 of the family's 1533-position model. The record is from RNAcentral.
UACGUAGGGGGCAAGCGUUAUCCGGAUUUACUGGGUGUAAAGGGGGCGCAGACGGCGAUGCAAGCCAGGAGUGAAAGCCCGGGGCCCAACCCCGGGACUGCUCUUGGAACUGCGUGGCUGGAGUGCAGGAGGGGCAGGCGGAAUUCCUGGUGUAGCGGUGAAAUGCGUAGAUAUCAGGAGGAACACCAGUGGCGAAGGCGAUUUGCUGGGCCAUUACUGACGCUCAUGCACGAAAGCGUGGGGAGCAAAUAGG